AAUCAACGCUGGCGGCGUGCCUAACACAUGCAAGUCGAACGAGAAGGUGACUUCGGUCACUGGAUAGUGGCGUCCGGGUGAGUAACACGUAGGUAAUCUACCUUCGGGUGGGGAAUAACGUCUCGAAAGAGACGCUAAUACCGCAUAAUGCAGCGGCACCUAAUGGUGAUUAGUUGUUAAAGCGGGGGAUCUUCGGACCUCGCGCCUGAAGAGGAGCCUGCGGCAGAUUAGCUAGUUGGUGAGGUAAUGGCUCACCAAGGCUUCGAUCUGUAGCUGGUCUGAGAGGACGGCCAGCCACACUGGCACUGACACACGGGCCAGACUCCUACGGGAGGCAGCAGUGGGGAAUUUUGGGCAAUGGGCGAAAGCCUGACCCAGCAACGCCGCGUGAAGGAGGAAAUCCUUCGGGAUGUAAACUUCAUAAGUAAGGGAAGAAAGCUGCGGAUCGAAUAAGUCCGCAGUCCGACGGUACCUUACGUAAGCCA
Molecule: ribosomal RNA, 485 nt
Filed under: uncultured bacterium
Lineage: Bacteria
Description: bacterial SSU rRNA
Rfam family: Bacterial small subunit ribosomal RNA
Source: RNAcentral